UACGGAGGGGGCAAGCGUUAUUCGGAUUCAUUGGGCGUAAAGGGCGCGUAGGCGGCCUGGCAAGUCAGAGGUGAAAGCCCUCGGCUCAACCGAGGAACUGCCUCUGAAACUGCCUAGCUCGAGGCCGGGAGAGGGUGGCGGAAUUCCUGGUGUAGCGGUGAAAUGCGUAGAUAUCAGGAGGAACACCCGUGGCGAAGGCGGCCACCUGGACCGGUUCUGACGCUGAGGCGCGAAAGCGUGGGGAGCAAACAGG
RNAcentral lists this ribosomal RNA (253 nucleotides) under uncultured bacterium. Its description in RNAcentral is "partial 16S ribosomal RNA". It matches the Rfam family "Bacterial small subunit ribosomal RNA", at positions 524 to 776 of the family's 1533-position model. The record is from RNAcentral.